Molecule: long non-coding RNA, 854 nt
Filed under: Homo sapiens (human)
Lineage: Eukaryota; Metazoa; Chordata; Mammalia; Primates; Hominidae
Description: long intergenic non-protein coding RNA 2691
Source: RNAcentral
GUGAAGAGCACGCUGGCUGAGCUGGCGAGAGGGGUGGGGGCGUCCUGGGGCUGCUUCUGCUCUGAUGAAGGCACCCACUGUCACUGUCCCGGCCCUCGCUGAGUGUUCCCGGACCCGUGGGCCCGCGUCUGUGCCAGGCCUUGGGGAGCUCCAGCCUCGGAGCCUCUUCCCGUUCUCAGACCUCAGUGCGAGGAGGAAAUCGGGUGCCUAGUGGGGCACUACCUGUCUGGAAGUAUUUUACACGAAGUUUAAGCCUUGAGAUUUCCUGGAGCAGGACCUCUGAAGUCACCAUCACAAAUGGCAGGCCCACACAAGGACUGAUUUACUUCUGACUCACCCAUGGCCUUCAGGCUUAGAGUUGGGGCCUUGUCGGAUUCCUCUCUCUUACCAACUCUGGGCUUUGACUCUGUUGUCCCUAAUGCCAUGCUGAUAAAUAAUUAAUAACUGGCUCUUCAUAAAAAAAAACAGUUUUGAUCUGUAGCACCUGCCAAUUCCCAUGGUGUAAACACUCCUGCCAUGGCUGACUUCAAGUUACCAACACAACAUCACUGAGUGUGGGAUUGGAAAAAGAUGCCCAUGGCUGGCUCUUAAGAGUCCUCUGAGCCUUGCUGGUUCUCCCUCACCUGCCAUUGAGGGGGCUGAUGGGUGCAACAGUCAUUCCUGAGGCUGCAAAGUUCUUUAAAGCAGAAGCAGCUGACUCUUGCUUAUGUUUUGCAGUACUUGCUGGGCUCUCAACUCCUCCAAGGUUUUGGCCUGGUAGUGCAUUCUUUGCUACCUGAUUUGCUCUUUUCUGCUUUAAAGAAGAUUGGAAAAAAAUUUUUUUUUUGAGACAGGGUCUCACUCUGUCACCUAGG